RNAcentral lists this non-coding RNA (196 nucleotides) under Staphylococcus xylosus. RNAcentral's name for it is "S. aureus tsr24 small RNA". It matches the Rfam family "S. aureus tsr24 small RNA". The record is from RNAcentral. Lineage: Bacteria; Bacillati; Bacillota; Bacilli; Caryophanales; Staphylococcaceae.
UGUUAAUUUAGUUUAAUCGUGUUGAUCAAAUUAUACGUAAGGGCCUUAUUUUUUUUAAGUAUUUUAAUGUAAAAUAACAUAGGAACACGACGUGUUUUGAUGAAACUCUUGAGGGAACAGGACAAGCUGGAUUACAGGCUGAAUCUGUCCUCUGAGAAAGCGAACCAUCAAUACGAAGUAUUGAAUAAAAAAAGAA